Molecule: microRNA, 23 nt
Filed under: Monodelphis domestica (gray short-tailed opossum)
Lineage: Eukaryota; Metazoa; Chordata; Mammalia; Didelphimorphia; Didelphidae
Description: Mdo-Mir-7360-P1b_5p (mature (guide))
Source: RNAcentral
UCCAUUCUGUAUGUAUAAUAUUU